This 1008-nucleotide ribosomal RNA is filed under the name uncultured bacterium. RNAcentral's name for it is "bacterial SSU rRNA". It matches the Rfam family "Bacterial small subunit ribosomal RNA", at positions 9 to 1018 of the family's 1533-position model. The record is from RNAcentral.
GAGUUUGAUCCUGGCUCAGGAUGAACGCUAGCGAUAGGCCUAACACAUGCAAGUCGAGGGGCAGCGAUGGUAGCAAUACCAGUCGGCGACCGGCGGAUGGGUGAGUAACACGUAUGCAACCUGCCUUCAACAUUGGAAUAACCCGUUGAAAGACGGACUAAUGCCUUAUAACACAGGGGCGCCGCAUGGCGAUAUUUGUUAAAGAUUUUAUCGGUUGAAGAUGGGCAUGCGCAUGAUUAGUUAGUUGGUAAGGUAACGGCUUACCAAGACAACGAUCAUUAGGGGUUCUGAGAGGAAGGUCCCCCACACUGGUACUGAGACACGGACCAGACUCCUACGGGAGGCAGCAGUGAGGAAUAUUGGUCAAUGAGCGAGAGCUUGAACCAGCCACGUCGCGUGCAGGAAGAAUGUCUUAUGGAUUGUAAACUGCUUUUUCGGUAGAGUAAUGUGCGUCACGUGUGACGUAUUGCAAGUAUACCGAGAAUAAGGAUCGGCUAACUCCGUGCCAGCAGCCGCGGUAAUACGGAGGAUCCGAGCGUUAUCCGGAUUUAUUGGGUUUAAAGGGUACGUAGGCGGGAUGAUAAGUCAGCGGUGAAAUUUUGCAGCUUAACUGUAAGCUUGCCGUUGAAACUAUUAUUCUUGAGUGUAGAUAAGGUAGGCGGAAUGCGUUGUGUAGCGGUGAUAUGCUUAGAUAUAACACAGAACACCAAUUGCGAAGGCAGCUUACCGGGUUACCACUGACGCUGAGGUACGACAGCGUGGGGAUCAAACAGGAUUAGAUACCCUGGUAGUCCACGCCGUAAACGAUGAAUACUCGCUGUUUGCGAUAUAGUGCAAGCGGCCAAGCGAAAGCAUUAAGUAUUCACCUGGGGAGUACGUUCGCAAGAAUGAAACUCAAAGGAAUUGACGGGGGCCCGCACAGCGGAAGACCUGUGGUUUAAUUCAUGAUCCCGAGGAACUUACCCGGGCUUGAAAUGCAAUCGACUGACUUGGAAACAGGUCUUCCCC